Molecule: long non-coding RNA, 522 nt
Filed under: Phoenix dactylifera (date palm)
Lineage: Eukaryota; Viridiplantae; Streptophyta; Magnoliopsida; Arecales; Arecaceae
Description: long non-coding RNA (PDAC_LNC013659)
Source: RNAcentral
AGAGAGUAAAGAUUCUAGUUAGACUUUUGUACUUGAUCCUAAUCUGUUCUAAGGUCUUUUAGAACAAAUGUAACUCCCACUAUUUUCUCGAAUCCCUCACACUCCCCUGGUAGGGAAACGGAAAUCCCACACGACUAGGGUUUCUAGUGGGUACUGCGGUCCCACCAAUUUACAUGCCACCUCACCUAACAGUUAUUGGUGACACAUAGAUUGAUGAAUGUACAACUCUUGUACAAUGCUUCUCAAGCAUGUUGCAGUGUAACUUGGUCUCUAAGCCAUAAAAACCUCACCUAACAGUUAUUGGUCUCAUUUCUUAGUUAAGUCAGACCCACCGUAUAACCGUAGGAAUAAAGUCGUCAUUGGGUCCUCACCUAACAGUUAUUGGUGCCCAACCCCACCUUUACCCUACAACAUCUCAUGUCUAUAGAGAGGUCUAGCCCCCCGAUGCAACUUAACCACUGUGUCCAGCCGAGACAAAUCAACAUCAGAAAGGCCUUAGCAGCUCUACUACAGUGGAAGACC